CUGCAAAAGAAGAAGAAGGAGAAGAGGCAGUCACCAAAGAUCCAUCACUUAUUGGGCGCAAGAGGCUUCACCCUGUUUUUUCUUGUGCAAAAACAGCUAUCAUUUCAGCUUGUUACAGAAACUGAUUUACGGAGCAAGAUAAAUUCCAGAGCAUGCUCCACUUAGGCACCUCCUACUGAUUUACGGCAUGGUAGUUAAACAAAAUGCCCAUCCCUGCGAGUG
RNAcentral lists this long non-coding RNA (222 nucleotides) under Brachypodium distachyon (stiff brome). Its description in RNAcentral is "long non-coding RNA (BDIS_LNC000256)". Lineage: Eukaryota; Viridiplantae; Streptophyta; Magnoliopsida; Poales; Poaceae. The record is from RNAcentral.